Molecule: non-coding RNA, 512 nt
Organism: Aegilops tauschii subsp. strangulata
Lineage: Eukaryota; Viridiplantae; Streptophyta; Magnoliopsida; Poales; Poaceae
Source: RefSeq, a predicted model, not a curated record
ACCUCCGCCUCUUCAAGAGUACGUGGGUGAUUCCGGGCGGGUUUUGUUUGGAUCUGGGAGGCACUGACUCUCCCGUUCGUCGCGUCGCAGGGCUGGUGAGAGAUCUGGAUCAGGGCAGGGGCCGUCCCAGGGAGGUGGUGGAGGCGGCCAAGGACCAAGGUCUCGUGGCGCUGCACUUCGCUACCGGGAAGGGAAGGCCACGGGUGUGCAGGUACCUGGUCGAGGAGCUAGGGGUCGAUGUGGACACCGUCGACGAUGGAGGCACCGGCACCCGGCGGUGCGCUCUCCGGGACUCUGCCACUUGAAGGGGCGAGGAGGAGCUACGGAUGCUAGCGAUUAACAACGUUGUGCAUAAGGCAAGCGCAGGACACUAUUUUGGAUUAGCUUAUAUUUUUCGGGCAAAGUUGUUCAUUUUAUUAACAUGGCAAAGUUCAGACAUUGAUGCAAAACAGCGAUAUGCCUUGAUGCUCGCAGGAAACAGAAACAGAGCUACAUGAGAUAAUUUUCAAGAA